Molecule: ribosomal RNA, 253 nt
Filed under: uncultured bacterium
Lineage: Bacteria
Description: partial 16S ribosomal RNA
Rfam family: Bacterial small subunit ribosomal RNA
Source: RNAcentral
UACGUAGGGCGCAAGCGUUAUCCGGAAUUAUUGGGCGUAAAGAGCUUGUAGGCGGUCUGUCGCGUCUGCUGUGAAAAUCCGGGGCUCAACCCCGGACGUGCAGUGGGUACGGGCAGACUAGAGUGUGGUAGGGGAGACUGGAAUUCCUGGUGUAGCGGUGAAAUGCGCAGAUAUCAGGAGGAACACCGGUGGCGAAGGCGGGUCUCUGGGCCGUAACUGACGCUGAGGAGCGAAAGCGUGGGGAGCGAACAGG